Molecule: ribosomal RNA, 349 nt
Filed under: uncultured soil bacterium
Lineage: Bacteria
Description: bacterial SSU rRNA
Rfam family: Bacterial small subunit ribosomal RNA
Source: RNAcentral
AGAUUGAACGCUAGCGGGAUGCUUUACACAUGCAAGUCGAACGGCAGCGCGGACUUCGGUCUGGCGGCGAGUGGCGAACGGGUGAGUAAUAUAUCGGAACGUGCCCAGUAGCGGGGGAUAACUACGCGAAAGCGUGGCUAAUACCGCAUACGCCCUACGGGGGAAAGGGGGGGAUCGCGAACGACCUCUCACUAGUUGGAGGCGGCCGAUAUCAGAUUAGCUUAGGUUGGUGAAGGUAAACGGCUCCACCAAAGGCCGACGAUCUGUAGCGUUGGUUGAGAGGACCGACAGCCACACGUGGACUGGAGACCGACCGGACCCAGACCUCCCGUACGGGAGGCGAGCGAGG